UUUUUGGAAUUUUGAAUCGAUCAGAGGAAAGAAUUCUAUGAUUUAUUUGCCACAAAAGCAUGUAUUGGUAAAAAAAUAUAUAGACAAGCACAUAACAGGGGUCGAUACUGACAUGUUUUAACAUUACUGUUUCAUGUUAAACGUCAAACACCAAAACCGUGAGCGGAUCCUGCCGGUAUUGGCUUUAAUGAGCAUACAUGUAUCGCACAGACACUUGUUUCUAUCCAUAGGAAGGUCGACUAUCCAUAAAUAGAAGAAGGUGGAUAAAAGUUUUUUUUAGGUCAGUCUCCACUUCGGACGCUUUUUCUACCCUUUAAGCUUUAAAUUAAUACAAAAAAAAUCUAUUUAUAUGUGUAGCGGGGUUGCUUCCCCUCCUUAGUACAGGUAGAACAUUUAACGCCAGUCUUAAUCAACUGAGCUAGCCUAGGGAAUCAAUUCUUUGGCUUAGUGGGUUAACGCACUGACUGUUACGCAGGCGACCUGGGUUCGAAUGCCUGUGGUGAUUAUAUAAAUUUGUAGAGCAGAUGCAUGCUCACUAGUUACAUUUGGCGCCCAACUAAAAAAUCCACGAUGGUUAUCUGGAGUAUUGCCAGGAUUUGUGUUGUUUAGAGUCAUAUAUAAAGAUAUGAAGACUCUUGUGGUAGUGGAAUAGUGUGGCGGGGUUGCUUCCCCUCCUUAGUACAGAUAGAACCAGUCUGCACGGUUAGCCACUAGUCCGAUGCCCCAGACUAGUAAGUUUUUGCAAAAUUUUGUUUGGCCCAAUAAGAAAAAUGUCAGAAUAUUGGUCUUCGGACUAGUAGUUGAAAAAGUUUUUGGUGCAGACUGUAGAACAUAUAAAGCCAGUCUUAAUCAACCGAGCUAGGGAAUUGAUUCUUUGGCUCAGUGGGUAUCGGGAUCGUUCGCCCUGAUAACAUGUUCGCCCUACAUGUAGGUUUGUUCGCUCUGAGUUUGUUCGCCCUGAUAGUCCGUUCGCCCUGGGUUCGUUCGCCUUAUUUUUAUUUAAGAUAUGUAUAUGUUACAUUAAUGAAAGAAAUAUAUAUAUUAAAAUUUAUGAUGUCUAAAAAUAGCAACAUAUAUUAAAAUUUAUGUAUAUCUAUUAAAAGUUAAAUACAGAAUAUUUGCCAAAUUUAUAUUAAUAAAAUAAAAUUCUUGGCUGCAUUGUUACACUUUAUUUUAUAAUUACUUUUAAGUACUGAUGAUUGAAUUUUGAUUGCUGAUUAGGUAUUAUUUGAAAACUUUGAUAUUACUGAUUGUUACAUGAAUUGUCCUUGAUGGAUUAAUAAUGAAAAUAACAUUUUUCUCUAAUAAAAUAGUCAGCUUGGAUGGGUAAAAAAACUGAUGCCAAAAUUGUUAGACAUGAAAGGGAAAUUAUUUUCGCAGCUUGGCUCUUUGAUCUCGAGGUGUGUUUUGACAAAGUUAUAUAUGGAAGUGGAUUAUGGAACCACUGCAAUUUUCCAUAAACUAUGGAAAUGUACAUGAAAAUGAAACCCUAAAUCAUUUACUGCUACAUUGUAACCUAGUAGCAGCUAGCUAUAGACAACAUAAUACAUAGUAAAUAUUCGGCGAAAUUGUAGACUGACUUCAACAUAUUCAAUUAUAUAUAUAUACACAACGCAACACUAUAUAUAAUAAAAAAUAAAAUCUGGGCGAACGGACUCUGGGCGAACCGGUAUUAGAGCGAACAGGAACUAGGGCGAACCCGAAUCAGGGCGGACGGACCCGGAUUCGGCUCAGUGGGUUAAAGCACUGACUGUCACGCAGGCGACCACGGUUCGAAUCCCGGUGGUGACGAUAUAAAUUUGUAGAGGAGAUACAUGCUCUCCGGUUACAUGAUAUGGAUAGUCGACUUUCAUAUGGAUAGAAACAAGUGCCUGUGCUGUAUUGUCUGUACAAUGUCAAUGGCCAAUGCUUAUUUCAAUUUACGCCAGGUUUACUGCUUUUUUCUACUCCCGUAAGGACUACAAAUUAACGUUUCCUGCUCCCUUACGCCUGGAUCUAGACACGUAAAUACCACUUACGCCUGGUUUACGCCUCAUUUCCAGGCGUAAUACGCCUUACAAUUUCAUACGGGAAAGCAUGUUAAGUGUUUUGUGUGGUGUUAUAAAGACAAUUUGAAGAGAUGGGCAAAAAUUUUAAAAAUUGCCACAUAUAAUACAUACUUAUAAUAAUAGAAUAUGUAUAUAUGUACAAUGUAGGUAAUAUGAUAAUUCCAUAUUAUGUGAAAAGAUUUUAGAUUGCUAUUAAUGAUUUGUUUAUAUCUUCUUUAUUGAAGCUCAAUUCAUGAACUGCACAGUUUUUGGCAAUUUUCAACAAUGGAAGAAAAUUUGAAACAGAAACCAAGAUACAGAUAUUAGCAGUUAAUGUAUAAUGUAAAACUUUUAUUUUAACAUAUUCAACAUCCCCUGACUUUGCACUUGUAUUAAUGUUUGUGUCAAAGAGCAGAAAACAAAGUCCCUCUAAACUAUUAAGAUCUAAGUUUGAUAACUAUAGAACUAAUGAACGCAUAGAAUGUAAUUUCAUUCUUUAAUUCACAUUAUAUUAUAUAUAUUGUUGUAGGCUCCGAUUCUGACCAAAUUAUUAAGUCAUUUCUGGAUUAAAGUUUUUCACCAUAAAAGAUCGUCAAUUUCGCACAUCUUUAUGACGUCAUUAACCAGAGAUGGCUCGCCUGUAUCCUUGCUCUAUUAAAAGGCUCUAGCACUUUCAUUAUCGUUAUUCUGUAGGGUAGUAUAGAAUAUAGAAAUAAAUAAUGUUCUGUAAGUACGUAAUCUUGAUUCCUGUAUGACUGAGGGAUGGUGACUAUCUUUUUGGAUUUUAAUUUCCCAAAUAUUUUGUGCAGUAUAAAAUCAAACUUUUUCUCCUGUUUGUUCAACAUGUACGUACAUGUAUGCAUGUGUUUGGAAUGAUGAUGCAUACAUUUUUGUCAUGUGGUGAUGGAAGUCACAUGACAGAUUCGUCUGAAAACCACAUCUCAGAACUGGCCUAUGCUCACAUAGUUAAUAUAUCUUUCAUUGUGAUGUUUAUUGUUGUAAUUACCAAUUAUGUCUAUCGAUUGUAACUAAUUAUAUGCCCUUAUUGGCCCUGUAAUUUGGGAUUUUUUUUUUUUUAUUCUAUUCUACUCACAUACUUUUUUGUACAGGAGUAAAUCCUUAUAUUUCAGGUACAGAUGCCCUUAAACAUGUUAAAGUGUUUGAUGAAGUAAAGAGCAAGAUACUAUCCCAUUUAGCAGCGAUACUGCAUGACUAAUUCCCAGACAAUAUGACACAGAAUACCGAUUGGCAUGAUUGGACACCAAUAGUUCACACAUGAGAACUGAGAAGAUGUUUUCAGGGUAAUCCACAUUGCACUGAAAUAAUUCAAAUAACUUAAAGAUAUUAAGCAAAUAUUUAAAGAAAUUGUCUGUCUUCCAAUUACACAGAAGUCAACAACUAUAGGUCACUGUAAGCCUUCAACAAAGAGCAAAACUAACACCACAUAGUCAGCUGUAAAAAGACCCAAAAUAAAAAAUGUAAAACAAUUCAAACGAGAAAACUAAUGGCCUUAUUUAUGUAAAAAAUAAUAUGUAACUCAGCAACAAACAACAACUACUGAAUUACAGGUUCUUGACAUGGGACAGGCACAUACAGAAUGUGCAGGGUUAAACUUGCUUGAAGGUGCCAUUCCUCUUCCCCUAACCGGGAACAGUGGUGAACAUUAUAAUGAGUCAUUAUAACAACAAACUAUAAAUAUCAAUUGAAAAAGGCUUAACUCAUCUCAUGGGAUAUGAAUAGCAAUACAUUUAAAAAAAAACCAAAAUAAACCUAGAAAACUAACAGCCUAAAGUUAUUAAUGAACGAAAAACAAAUAUUUAACACAGCUACAAGAGACAACCACUGAAUUACAGGCACAUACAUUAAGGAUAGAUCUGUUACUGAC
Molecule: long non-coding RNA, 3912 nt
Filed under: Mytilus galloprovincialis (Mediterranean mussel)
Lineage: Eukaryota; Metazoa; Mollusca; Bivalvia; Mytilida; Mytilidae
Source: RNAcentral